RNAcentral lists this ribosomal RNA (379 nucleotides) under uncultured bacterium. RNAcentral describes it as "bacterial SSU rRNA". It matches the Rfam family "Bacterial small subunit ribosomal RNA", at positions 30 to 406 of the family's 1533-position model. The record is from RNAcentral.
AUUGAACGCUGGCGGCAGGCCUAACACAUGCAAGUCGAGCGGAUUUUGGAGGGCUUGCUCUCCAAGGUUAGCGGCGGACGGGUGAGGAAUACGCAGGAAUCUACCUAGUAGUGGGGGAUAACGUUCCGAAAGGAACGCUAAUACCGCAUACGACCUACGGGUGAAAGCAGGGGACCUUUCGGGCCUUGCGCUAUUGGAUGAGCCUGCGUCGGAUUAGCUGGUUGGUGGGGUAAAGGCCUACCAAGGCGACGAUCCGUAGCUGGUCUUAGAGGAUGAUCAGCCACACUGGGACUGAGACACGGCCCAGACUCCUACGGGAGGCAGCAGUGGGGAAUAUUGGACAAUGGGCGAAAGCCUGAUCCAGCCAUGCCGCGUGUGU